CCCAGUCUCAUCCCCCAUUCUCCCAGGGCUGCUUAAAGUCUUGAUGGAUAACAAGGGUAGCAACAAAUACAUCUACUCACAUUAGCAUGGGUCAAAUAAAUAAGUCAAAAGGCAACAUAAUUCCAGCUAAAAUGAACCAGUCUCUGUACAUCCCUCUUAGGCUGGAGCUGGGAACACAAUUUCACCUCCUGUGACGGCCCAGUGGGAAAAGGAAACCCCUGAUCUAUAUAGCUUUCUGCAGCCCUCCAGUGAUAUCCUGCAGGAGGCUGGAGUUUCCCAGGAAAAGAACAGCAAAGGAAGUGCGGGAUCUGAUGGGGCCAGGGGACAAACACAUAGAAUGCUGCUUACCAUCUCAGUGGCCUUUCUCUUCCUCCCAUCCGAAACUUCAGACGAGUUUUUUCUGAAAACAUAUAUCAGAUGGCAUCAUCAUGUCAGCAAAAACAGAAUGUAUGCUGUAUGGAAAUUAAAUUCAUUGGCAAAUUUCAAUCUAUCAAUUCAAAUAUGCCACAUCACCAAGCAAAAGACUGUUAUCUGAUAAAUAUUACUUGCCUUGCAACCUGAUCAAACUCAUUUCUUUUGUCACAAAGAGGAGACCUAGAAAGCAUGCCAACAAUAGUUACAUAGAAGACGACAGAUAGGUAAGUAACUGAUCAUAUUCUUAGUCAACAUAAUGAGUAACUUGCUCAUAGGUCAUGUUCUUAAAUAUUUAUUACAGCAAACUGAACAAUUUUGAAAUGAAGAAGCUUACUAAAAUUGGGAAGCAAGUAAUGGGGAGAGAAAAUCAGAGCAAUAGCCAGUCUGAGGGACGGAUGAUGCCAGCCACAUCCUUGUAAUGGGAAUGGCAAGUAGGUUUAUGGGAAGCAGUUGCCAACUAUAAUGGAGGGAGUUGCCUGGAAUUUAGGGCAAAAAUAGACUUGGGACUCAUUAAGAAAUAAAACUAAUACUCAUACUCA
This 953-nucleotide long non-coding RNA is filed under the name Vulpes vulpes (red fox). Its description in RNAcentral is "lncRNA (ENSVVUG00000029363.1)". The record is from RNAcentral. Lineage: Eukaryota; Metazoa; Chordata; Mammalia; Carnivora; Canidae.